Long non-coding RNA from Leopardus geoffroyi (Geoffroy's cat), 5664 nucleotides. RefSeq lists it as uncharacterized. The record is from RefSeq and is a predicted model, not a curated record. Lineage: Eukaryota; Metazoa; Chordata; Mammalia; Carnivora; Felidae. The transcript is spliced from 2 exons.
GUCAAGUAACCAAGCCAAAGGAAGAGUAGGUGGCCAGCUGGGUCCUGGGACAGGACCUGGAACCCACCACGCCCCUUCUGCCUCUUGUCUCUUCGCUCUGAUGAUCAGCUUCAUUCCCCUGCAGACUGGCAUCGUCUAUGAAACGUGCAAAUGUGGCUGCCAGCAGCUGUCAUGUCUUCCUAGCUCCAUGGCUAAGAAGGUAGGCUCUUCCUUUCACGGCAAUUAAUGACCUCCUGGAUAGGAAAUCCAACUGGCUCAGUUCUGUGGCCAAUAAGUUGAAGUUGUAUGAUAGCUUGCCCUCACUGAAAGUAAAUAAAGGAAGAGCAGCUCUUCAUGAAGGAGGACAAUCACAGAUGUCUACAGAUGGACCUUGCCGUCCUGGGCCCUCCGGCCUCUGCGGUCCUCCAGGGAGCUGCCGCAGGGUGAGCAAACGGAGGGAUGGCCAAGGGGGAAGCAACAAAGGAGACAGAGUUGCCGAAGUCCUAGCAAAACUGGCUGGGAGAAGGGGUGCCUGGCUGGCUCAGCUGGUAGAGCACAGGACUCUUGAUCUCAGGGUUAUACGUCCGAGUUCCGCAUCAGGGGUAAGGUUUACUUAAAAGAAAACCAAAACGGCUCGGAGGUCAGAAUGAAACACUUCUUCACAUCUCAGGCCUUCAAGGUUCUGGGGAGCUCACACGGCCUGGGGGGGCUAAAGUCCUAUAAGGGAGAAGGCAAGAGGAUCAGUGAUAGCCCACAGUUGCAGAAACCGUUCUGGGGGUUCAAGUGCAAAUGUCAUCCUUCCAGAGGAGUGGGAUGCAACCACAAUAUGGCAGGAGGGCUGGAAACCGUAAGGGACCCUGCCCAGACUCAGCAUCUCCGCCCACGUAGCUCAGAGCCCACGCCGAUGGCCGGCCUGGGGAGUGCGCCACCUGGGUCUGCACGCUCCGGGUGUGCAAUUCCACGGACAUAAAUAACGCUGGCACGCCAUAUAAACAUCAGAUGAACAUGAAAGCCGCAGCAUCUGGGGAACUGUCACCAUCUGCCAGUCUGAGAGGAACACGGAAAGAAUCAGCAGGGUAGAAGCCGUAUGGGGUCUGGGUUUAAAACAACACUACUGGCAGCUGCUACCCGCCCUCGGCCGCUGAGAAUAGCAGCGGGUUCUUCCUGACGUGGCAGUUUACGGGCUCUCACAAAUCCUGGCUGACCCUGUCACAAAGGCUGAGGCCCACAUACCAAGCGGCUCCAAUGGCCACCGCUCACCAAGCACGUUUAUGAGACUUUGUUCCCUCUCCUCCGCAGCCUCACAAUGCAGGCACACACCAGGUCCCACAAACAGAGGAAGAGAGAGAGAAGGCUCCCGGCGGCGAGCUCAGCAGAAGUAUUCUCCUUGCGCCUGACUUCUUUGACUCAGUCCUCAUUUGAUCGUGUCCGCAGGGACCAGACUUCAACACGCGGCGCGAAGUGCUGGGCCAGGCGCCCCGGGAUGAGGUGCAACCCCAAAUCUGCUAGAGACCACCUCCCUCACGGCCACCGCGGGACAGAGGAAAAGCUCCCAGGUGGGCAGCCUUCCCUUGGAGACGGUCGAGUCCUACGUCCGUCACCCACUGAGAGAACUGCGGGACCAAGCGUGGCUAGAGCUGAGGAAGGUAUCCCUCUGUGCGGCUCUGGAGAGCCCCUCGUGUUACCCAGAGACAUCUUGGCAGUCCAUCCCAAAUGGCCCAUGUACCUUUUGGCAAACUCUACUGGUGAAUACAGUUCAAGCGGGGAACUAAUUUGCCGUAAAUAAUAACGACAAGCUGAUCAUAAUACUUAAGCAUUAAUCUGAACUUACUAUGUAUUAGGUGUUAUACAAAGUGCCUUACACGUAUUAUCAUAUGUAAUCCUCCCAAUAACUCUUGGAAAUAGAUAACGCUACACUCCUGCUUUACUGAGGAAGGAACCAGGGCUCACAGAAAGAAGGCAAGCCCAUCAUAGCGGUGGGAUACCCAGUGGGUCACUUCACAACUCGUGGCUGAAGUUUAUUCAUGCCUAAAAGCAGGAGAUUGGCCUUGGGUCAGUAUUUCCCAAAGUGUGGUGCAUGGACCAUUCUGAAGAGUCACGUGGGGUGCAAGCAAAAAUUGCAGGCUCCUGGCUCCACCCCAGAUCUACGAAAUCAGAAUUCCUGGGGGUAAGGCCCAGGAAUCUAUCUGUCUAACAAGAACCCCAGGUGAUUUUUAAGCAUAUUAAAGUCUGAGAAACCCAGGUAUAGGAUUCCAAAACCGUUGCCAGCUCUGUUACAAUGGCCCAUGGUUUCCCUUUGUUAGAGACUCUUCAAGAAUGCAAGCUUUUCUCUUUCCCUGGACCCAGAGUUAACCCCCAAGUAUCCUGAACAUCUUCUUUAGAUCAGCUUUACACAAGAUCUUGUUUCUUAUAUGACACAAGCAAAUUCUCCCUUCCCUAAAAUGUUUAAACCAUACCAAACAAAUUCCUCCCAUUUAUAAGGAAUGCAAGGACAAGAUGACAUGACCUUAGUUAAUUAAGUUAUUUUACAAAUAGAAGCCAAUAAACACAUGGAACUAGUUACUAAGAAAAGGGUCACCGGAUCAGAGAACACUGACAGUAAAUGAGAGGAGGGGAGGAAGCGAGAGGGAGACAGAGACAGAGACAGAGAGAGAGAGAGAUGGCUAAAUUUUAGAAACACAUGUGUGUGUGUGCACGUGCACGCACAGACACAUACACUCAGAUCAUACACACAAAGGAAAUCAGGUAAAAUUAGGCUGUGAGCAAAGAGUGUAAGAGCACACGGGCUUUAUUUUCACUGAGAACGAGUAGGUCGUCUCACCUUUGGCCAUGGUCUUGACUUUUUCUUCUAAUUGAUGGCCUUAUUUCCCCUCAAAAUGCCCCUCUUACCGCUCUGUCCUCAUUCUUAACUCUAAUUUGCCUUUUGGUCUGUUUGUUUUGUCCUUUCCUGCUGAAGUUGAGGUCAGGGCGACAAAAGAGCCUGCAUUCGGUGCACCUUGUAACUUCAUCAUCUUACUGCCUAGCAUGGAAUGAUGCAAAUCCCCCCAGCUGAAGCCUCAACCCUGACUACCAAGAUGGCCAAAUGCCUGCAUCAGCCAUGCGGCCACCAGGCCCAGGGGCUGCCUGCUGAUCCGUUUCCAUGGAGAUGCACAUCUGCUUUUCCCAUGCACCUCAGCCCACUUUGUGACACACACACACACACACACAUGCACGCACACACAGAGGCAGGCACACCGCCACCACAACAAAAGUCUGUUAUGUAUCAGUUAUGCAAAGCACAGUCCUAGGUGCAAUGAGGAAAACUACAAUGGAAAGACGCAUAAGAUGUGGCCCCAGCCUUCAAGCACCUUAGCACCCAUGGAGACUCGGAAUGCUCCAGAAAGCAGGUAUGGUAAGACUGUAGGAGUCAUAGCGCAUAGGCUGGUUACAAAGUGGCCUGAUAGAAGUGGGACCUGGGCUGGACUGUGGAGGAGAAGCUGAGGAGACUGGGCUGGACCCGUUGGGUAGAAGGAAUGACUGCAGUCUCCAUUCCUCCUUCUUUUGAUAACAGCACCCUAAUUUUCUUGAACUUUACCUUUAGCUCUUGUGAUUCAGGUGGGGCUGAACUUGAACUGAUGAAACCAAAGCACCUUAUCCAUCUGGUCACCAUGAGGGUUCAGAAUGGGUACACGAUCCAGAUCAGUCCAAUGAGACUUGAUCUGGAGACUUUGGCAGGAACCAUGGGUAAAGAGCAGCUCUCCUUUCCCCCUGGUGAUUUGCUCAGAGGAUAUAAUCCUGGAGCUACUGUCAGUCUUCUUGCUACUGCAUGGAGGGGGUGACCUGGGAGUGAAACCAACAUGGAGGAAAGCAGAACCAAGAUACAGACAGAGUCCUGAGGACAAAGACUGAGGAAAUCAGCUCGAUCUCUGGACUCUUUGCUUGAGGAAAACUGAUUUUGUUUUUGUUUUUUAAAGCUAAUAUGGUUGACCAGCUCUCGUUUGCAACUCGGAGGCAGAAGUGUGUAAUGGUGUCCUUGGAGGAGUGGGAACACCAGCCUCACUGGUUGAUGCUGGGAGACCAGCUGGAAGGGUGAAUUGAGGGCAGACUUGGCAGGAGAUGGGAAGGGAGAGGCAUGAACACAAGCUAAGGCGUAAGAGCUUUAUAUCCUACAGACAAGAGAAGCCACUGAUGACUGCGGACAGAGGGAAGGCUGAGGAAAAGGGGAGUGCUCCAGGACGGGUCACACAUGAGAUAGGUGGCAGAACAAGACGGAUUCUCUGGUUUCUUCCAACCUCGGGAUUGUGUGCAGAUGACAGUACUUGGGGAUAGUCUGCGGUAUGGCAUAGAGGGGGUGAGACUGGAAUUAGGGAUGUUCCCAAGGCAGUUGCUGACAGGAGAUGCCGCAGAGGGGCUGGCAGGAAGGAGGGAAGGAGGCCUGGGAUGACACUGGAAAAGAACUAUCGCUUUGGUGACGAGCUGCGGCAGAGCGAGCGUCUGUACCUCUGAGAUGGGAUGGUUCCACUGAUGGAAAGUAGCGGUGGAACUGGUUUGAAAGGGGGGAUGAAUUCUCCCCCUGGGACACAAGGGGGCAGCAUUCAAAGGAGUGGGGCUGGAGCUCAAGUGGGGCCAUGGUACUCCCUUAGCCUCUCUGAACAGGGUUGGGGAAAAUAGCCUCCGAAGUCAUGGACAAUUCUACAGCUUGCCGAUUCCAGUAGGAAGGUCAGGACUCGAAGUGCAGACUCCGCAGUGACGGAAACUCACAGUUCUUAGUGACCUCGUAGAGUCCCGAGCAUAAGCUCUGACCCAAAGCAGGGAUCUCCUUUCCAGACGUUCUGAAAGACGGCCAUUCACCUUGGAUACUUUUUACUCCGGCACCUUACAAGCUCUUAAGGACAUCAAGUUCGUUUCCAGGUGCCUUUAACAUAAAACGAUUCCUUUCAGGGGGGCUGAAAAGGACUCCCCUGUAGGUUCAAGCCACAGGUUGUAGUAUUUCUGCUUGCAGGUGACACAGCUAAGAAGAACACAGCUGGGCUGGAAAACAGCAUGGCCGAGGUCAUUUUCCUUGGCCACACUCUAAAAAGUGGCCCUCCUCCUGUCUGCUUCUUCUUCUACAAGUGAUAUGUUAAAAUGACAGCAGUGUUAAGAAUGAUGAAAACAGGUUGGGGGAACCAGCAUGACCAUGAGACAGAGAAAGAAAAGAGUCAGAAGUUGUAGAGUCUUGUAUCUUCUCCCUCUCCUUUAAUCACUGGUGGGGAACAUGCCCCUUCCCCAGGCUGACUUCCCAGAUGAUGGAAUUGGGCUCUGAAAUGAAGCCUAAUCCCUUUUACCCAGAACAGACUAUCCACAAUUUUACUAUCACGGUCGUUGUGAACCUUACUUUUCCAAAUUAACUAUCUCCACGUAUAAUAUUGCUGAGGUUCCGAGCUUGGAUGAGAUCCCAAAAGGAGAGAGAAUAAAAAGGAGGCCCCAGGCCUCAAAUUCACAUAAAAGUGACUUGUUUAUACACAAGCUCAUUGGCUUCCUUCUUCCUCCUCCCACAGCACCAUGCACGUGCGUGAGCGCGCGCACACACACACACACACACACAUAAUGGCUUUGUUUAAAACAAGAAUUUACUAAACAAACACGGGUUUGACCAAGUUUAAAUCUCCAAAGUAAGCAGCUGAAGCAUUUUAAUUACCACACCCCUUUUCAAAAUAUUUUUCA